RNAcentral lists this ribosomal RNA (468 nucleotides) under uncultured bacterium. RNAcentral describes it as "partial 16S ribosomal RNA". It matches the Rfam family "Bacterial small subunit ribosomal RNA", at positions 28 to 507 of the family's 1533-position model. The record is from RNAcentral.
GACGAACGCCGGCGACGUGCUUAACACAUGCAAGUCGAACGGAAAGGCCCUGCUUUUGUGGGGUGCUCGAGUGGCGAACGGGUGAGUAACACGUGAGUAACCUGCCCUUGACUUUGGGAUAACUUCAGGAAACUGGGGCUAAUACCGGAUAGGAGCUCCUGCUGCAUGGUGGGGGUUGGAAAGUUUCGGCGGUUGGGGAUGGACUCGCGGCUUAUCAGCUUGUUGGUGGGGUAGUGGCUUACCAAGGCUUUGACGGGUAGCCGGCCUGAGAGGGUGACCGGCCACAUUGGGACUGAGAUACGGCCCAGACUCCUACGGGAGGCAGCAGUGGGGAAUAUUGCACAAUGGGCGGAAGCCUGAUGCAGCAACGCCGCGUGCGGGAUGACGGCCUUCGGGUUGUAAACCGCUUUCGCCUGUGACGAAGCGUGAGUGACGGUAAUGGGUAAAGAAGCACCGGCUAACUACGUG